RNAcentral lists this ribosomal RNA (406 nucleotides) under uncultured bacterium. RNAcentral's name for it is "partial 16S ribosomal RNA". It matches the Rfam family "Bacterial small subunit ribosomal RNA", at positions 28 to 526 of the family's 1533-position model. The record is from RNAcentral.
GUUGAACGCUGGCGGCAGACCUAAUACAUGUAGGCCGGGCGUGCGGCGGAGGGGUGAGCAAUGUAUGGGGAUCUGCCACUUGGAGGGGGAUAACUACUGGACACGGUAGCUAAUCCCGCAUCCUAUACGAUGAACACAUAUGGGAUUAGCUUGUAGGUAAGGUAACGGCGUACCUAGGCGACGAUCCCUAGCUGGUCUGAGAGGAUGAUCAGCCACAGUGGGACUGAGACACGGCCCAGACUCCUACGGGAUGCAGCAGUGGGGAAGAUGGCACAAUGGGCGCAAGCCUGAUGCAGCCAUGCCGCGUGUAUGAAGAAGGCCUUCGGGUUGUAAAGUACUUUCAGUCGGGAGGCGUUACCGACAGAAGAAGCACCGGCUAACUCCGUGCCAGCAGCCGCGGUAAUUC